This 158-nucleotide long non-coding RNA is filed under the name Dermacentor andersoni. RNAcentral describes it as "uncharacterized LOC126538409". Lineage: Eukaryota; Metazoa; Arthropoda; Arachnida; Ixodida; Ixodidae. The record is from RNAcentral.
GAGCUUGCAGCACAGAAUCGACAGGAUGCGUGGCCGGCAAGGCGAAAAAGCCGCGUCCGAGCUGUCAUCUUCUCGGAAGCAGGCGCUGAUGCUUGGAGACCUGCAGAGCACGAACUGCAGCAUGUAUGCCGAAAUAAACAGCUAUUGCCUAUUUAAAA